UGGUGGAGUGAUUUGUCUGGUUAAUUCCGUUAACGAACGAGACCUCAGCCUACUAAAUAGUGGCUACUAGUUCACGCUAGUACGUCGACUUCUUAGAGGGACUAUUCGUGUUUAACGAUUGGAAGUUUGAGGCAAUAACA
This 140-nucleotide ribosomal RNA is filed under the name uncultured eukaryote. RNAcentral's name for it is "partial 18S ribosomal RNA". It matches the Rfam family "Eukaryotic small subunit ribosomal RNA", at positions 1299 to 1458 of the family's 1831-position model. The record is from RNAcentral.